This 481-nucleotide ribosomal RNA is filed under the name uncultured bacterium. RNAcentral's name for it is "partial 16S ribosomal RNA". It matches the Rfam family "Bacterial small subunit ribosomal RNA", at positions 28 to 507 of the family's 1533-position model. The record is from RNAcentral.
GAUGAACGCUGGCGGCGUGCCUAACACAUGCAAGUCGAGCGAAGAGCUUAAAUUAGUUUUCUUCGGACUUUCGAUUCUUGUGACUGAGUGACGGACGGGUGAGUAACGUGUGGGUAACCUGCCUCAUACAGGGGGAUAACCGUUAGAAAUGUAUGCUAAUACCGCAUAAGACUCCAGCUUCGCAUGAAGCGGUGGUAAAAACUCUGGUGGUAUGGGAUGGACCCGCGCUUGUUUAGAUAGUUGGUAAGGUAACGGGAUACCAUGGCGACGAGCAGUAGCCGGGCAGUGAGACAGGGCCGACACAUUGGGGGUGGGACGCGGUAGAGACUCCUACGCGAGGGAGGAAUGGGGGAUAUUGCACAGUGGGGGGAGCGCUGAUGCAGCGACGAUGGGUGAAGGAUGAAGUUAGGCAGUAUGUAAAGUGUUAGCAGCUGUGAAGAACGUGACGGUACCUGACUAGGAAGCCCCGGCUAACUACGUG